Molecule: long non-coding RNA, 556 nt
Organism: Alosa sapidissima (American shad)
Lineage: Eukaryota; Metazoa; Chordata; Actinopteri; Clupeiformes; Clupeidae
Exons: 2
Source: RefSeq, a predicted model, not a curated record
CAAAUAAACAUGGGCUCGUUCUCCGACGGACUGGCCACAGGGAUGAGCGUUCCAUCAAUGGCUCCAAUCACCCGUGGAAGUUGGGCUAUCGUAUGGAAAGCCUAGUUGGCCUGCACAAUAUUCUCUGCUGUGGUGCACUGUAAAAAAUAACACUACAUCUUACUGCAGUAACACAAGUAUACUUUACUUACUAUAGGCUGACCUAGUGUUCUUACUAGAGUAACAUUAGUAAUGUGCCGAACUUGCAACAAUGGGGUCUAAAACUUGAGAUACACGAGUAAGCUUCACAACUCAGACCUGAGUAAACUGGACUCACGCAGUGCACACGCGCACAGUUGCAGAGGGAGCAUUCUGGAUUCCACAGCCAACGGUCGGCAGUGUUACGGUGUGGCUGACUUUUGGGAUGGGAGUGUAACAGCUUCACCAGUGACUUACUCUGUCCGUUGGAAAACUGAAAAUGCAGAGCAAUGAACUGGACAUGUAAGUUGUGCUUGUUUGGAUGUGAAGUCAGAGGUCAGUUGCUCAAACACUACUGAUUGAAACAUGGAGGUUACAC